GUUAAUAUAGUUUAAAAAAAACUCUGAUCUUGUAAAUCAAAAAUAAAUAUUUUUAUUAACU
Molecule: transfer RNA, 61 nt
Filed under: Glomeridesmus spelaeus
Lineage: Eukaryota; Metazoa; Arthropoda; Diplopoda; Glomeridesmida; Glomeridesmidae
Description: tRNA-Thr
Source: RNAcentral